CAGUAGCCGCGGUAAUACGAAGGGUGCAAGCGUUACUCGGAAUUACUGGGCGUAAAGCGUGCGUAGGUGGUGGUUUAAGUCCGUUGUGAAAGCCCUGGGCUCAACCUGGGAAUUGCAGUGGAUACUGGAUCACCAGAGUGUGGUAGAGGAUAGUGGAAUUUCCGGUGUAGCAGUGAAAUGCGUAGAGAUCGGAAGGAACAUCUGUGGCGAAGGCGACUAUCUGGGCCAACACUGACACUGAGGCACGAAAGCGUGGGGAGCAAACAGGAUUAGAUACCCCCGUAGUCCCUGUCUCUUAUAA
Molecule: ribosomal RNA, 301 nt
Filed under: uncultured bacterium
Lineage: Bacteria
Description: partial 16S ribosomal RNA
Rfam family: Bacterial small subunit ribosomal RNA
Source: RNAcentral